This 661-nucleotide ribosomal RNA is filed under the name uncultured Actinomycetales bacterium. RNAcentral's name for it is "bacterial SSU rRNA". It matches the Rfam family "Bacterial small subunit ribosomal RNA", at positions 84 to 760 of the family's 1533-position model. The record is from RNAcentral. Lineage: Bacteria; Bacillati; Actinomycetota; Actinomycetes; Actinomycetales.
CAGGUACUCGAGUGGCGAACGGGUGAGUAACACGUGGGUGAUCUGCCCUGCACUUCGGGAUAAGCUUGGGAAACUGGGUCUAAUACCGGAUAGGAACCAUCUUUAGUGUGGUGGUUGGAAAGUUUUUUCGGUGUAGGAUGAGCUCGCGGCCUAUCAGCUUGCUGGUGGGGUAAUGGCCUACCAAGGCGGCGACGGGUAGCCGGCCUGAGAGGGUGUACGGCCACAUUGGGACUGAGAUACGGCCCAGACUCCUACGGGAGGCAGCAGUGGGGAAUAUUGCACAAUGGGCGCAAGCCUGAUGCAGCGACGCCGCGUGGGGGAUGAAGGCCUUCGGGUUGUAAACUCCUUUCGCUAGGGACGAAGCUUUUUGUGACGGUACCUAGAUAAGAAGCACCGGCUAACUACGUGCCAGCAGCCGCGGUAAUACGUAGGGUGCGAGCGUUGUCCGGAAUUACUGGGCGUAAAGGGCUCGUAGGUGGUUUGUCGCGUCGUCUGUGAAAUUCUGGGGCUUAACUCCGGGCGUGCAGGCGAUACGGGCAUAACUUGAGUGCUGUAGGGGUAACUGGAAUUCCUGGUGUAGCGGUGAAAUGCGCAGAUAUCAGGAGGACACCGAUGGCGAAGGCAGGUUACUGGGCAGUUACUGACGCUGAGGAGCGAAAGC